RNAcentral lists this ribosomal RNA (200 nucleotides) under uncultured bacterium. RNAcentral's name for it is "partial 16S ribosomal RNA". It matches the Rfam family "Bacterial small subunit ribosomal RNA", at positions 524 to 723 of the family's 1533-position model. The record is from RNAcentral.
UACAGAGGUCUCAAGCGUUGUUCGGAUUUACUGGGCGUAAAGGGUGCGUAGGCGGCAGUGCAAGUCGAAUGUGAAAUCUCGGGGCUCAACCUCGAAACUGCAUUCGAUACUGCAUCGCUAGAGGAUUGUAGAGGAGUGUGGAAUUCACGGUGUAGCAGUGAAAUGCGUAGAUAUCGUGAGGAAGACCAGCGGCGAAGGCG